AAUCUUCCACAAUGGGCGAAAGCCUGAUGGAGCAACGCCGCGUGAGUGAAGAAGGUUUUCGGAUCGUGAAACUCUGUUGUAAGGGAAGAACAAGUACAGUAGUAACUGGCUGUACCUUGACGGAACCUUAUUAGAAAGCCACGGCUAACUACUUUCCAGACGCCGCGGUAAUACGUAGGUGGCAAGCGGUGUCCGGAAUUCUUGGGCGUAAAGCGCGCCGAGGCGGUCCUUUAAGUCUGAUGUGAAAGCCCGCGGCUCAACCGUGGAGGGUCAUUGGAAACUGGGGGACUUGAGUGCAGAAGAGGAAAGUGGAAUUCCAAGUGUAGCGGUGAAAUGCGUAGAGAUUUGGAGGAACACCAGUGGCGAAGGCGACUUUCUGGUCUGUAACUGACGCUGAGGCGCGAAAGCGUGGGGAGCAAACA
This 422-nucleotide ribosomal RNA is filed under the name uncultured bacterium. Its description in RNAcentral is "partial 16S ribosomal RNA". It matches the Rfam family "Bacterial small subunit ribosomal RNA", at positions 360 to 774 of the family's 1533-position model. The record is from RNAcentral.